RNAcentral lists this ribosomal RNA (499 nucleotides) under uncultured bacterium. Its description in RNAcentral is "bacterial SSU rRNA". It matches the Rfam family "Bacterial small subunit ribosomal RNA", at positions 29 to 507 of the family's 1533-position model. The record is from RNAcentral.
AACGAACGCUGGCGGCGUGGAUAAGACAUGCAAGUCGAACGAGGUUACUCUUGGUAGCAAUACCGAGAGUGACUUAGUGGCGAACGGGUGCGUAACACGUGGGCAAUCCGCCUUAAAGUGGGGGAUAGCUCGGCGAAAGCCGAAUUAAUACCGCAUGUGAUCAGCCAAGACAUCUUGGCGACAUCAAAGCCGGGGCAACCUGGCGCUUUUUGAGGAGCCCGCGGCCUANCAGCUAGUUGGUGAGGUAACGGCCCACCAAGGCUUUGACGGGUAGCUGGUCUGAGAGGACGACCAGUCACACUGGAACUGAGACACGGUCCAGACACCUACGGGUGGCAGCAGUCGAGAAUUUUUCUCAAUGGGGGCAACCCUGAAGGAGCGACGCCGCGUGGAGGAUGAAGGCUUUUGGUGUAACUCCUGUCAUUUGAGAACAAGUGGCCGAACAAUAACUACUUCGGCCUUGAUAGUAUCAGAAGAGGAAGGGACGGCUAACUCUGUG